CCUACGGGUGGCAGCAGUGAGGAAUAUUGGUCAAUGGCCGGAAGGCUGAACCAGCCAAGUCGCGUGAGGGAAGAAGGCCCUCUGGGUGGUAAACCUCUUUUGUCAGGGAGCAAAGGCGUCCACGUGUGGACGAGAGGAAAGUACCUGAAGAAAAAGCAUCGGCUAACUCCUUGCCAGCAGCCGCGGUAAUACGGAGGAUGAGAGCGUUAUCCGGAUUUAUUGGGUUAAAGGGGUGCGUAGGCGGAGUGUCAGGGCAGCGUUAAAAUUUCGGGGCUCAACCCCGUCGUGACUUUGAAACUGGCGGCCUUGAGGGAGUGAGAAGUAAGCGGAAUGCGUGGUGUAGCGGUGAAAUGCAUAGAUAUCACGCAGAACGUCGAUUGCGAAGGCAGCUUACCGGCGCUCAACUGACGCUGAGGCACGAAAGUGCGGGUAUCGAACAGGAUUAGAUACCCUAGUAGUC
RNAcentral lists this ribosomal RNA (460 nucleotides) under uncultured bacterium. RNAcentral's name for it is "partial 16S ribosomal RNA". It matches the Rfam family "Bacterial small subunit ribosomal RNA", at positions 338 to 795 of the family's 1533-position model. The record is from RNAcentral.